CGUAGGGGGCAAGCGUUGUCCGGAUUUAUUGGGCGUAAAGCGCUCGCAGGUGGUUCGUCGCGUCGUGCGUGAAAGACCCCGGCUCAACUGGGGAGGGUCGUGCGAUACGGGCGGACUGGAGGCCAGUAGGGGGGAUGCGGAAUUCCGGGUGUAGUGGUGGAAUGCGUAGAGAUCCGGAGGAACACCAGCGGCGAAGGCGGCAUCCUGGACUGGUCCUGACACUCAGGAGCGAAAGCGUGGGGAGCGAUCCGGAUUAGAUACCCGGGUAGUCCACGCUGUAAACGAUGCGCACUAGGUGUCGGGGGUAUCGACCCCCUCGGUGCCGCAGCUAACGCGAUAAGUGCGCCGCCUGGGGACUACGGCCGCAAGGCUA
Molecule: ribosomal RNA, 373 nt
Filed under: uncultured organism
Description: bacterial SSU rRNA
Rfam family: Bacterial small subunit ribosomal RNA
Source: RNAcentral